AGGGUGGGAUUGUCAUCUAUCAUUUAAGAAAACCUAGUCUUUUUUUCUCAUUUUCAUUGAUCUUUUGAUCCUAAUUACUUCAUAGAGUAGAAGGCCCUCUGACAAUCAUACCACAGUACUCUUCCUCUACUGCAGUUUUGGUUUAUUUUUUAAUGAAGGAUAAGAAACAGAUGCCAUGACAAGGUGCGGUGCCUAGAGGAAGAGAACACUGAACUGGAAUGCAGGAUCUGGGAAUGGUACAUGAGACAAGGCCCCAUCUGUGAGCCAAGGGACUACAGCUGCUACUACAGGGAAAUAGAAGAUCCUCAAAACCAGAUCAUUUGUGCAACCAUGGAGAACAAGAUCCUUCUGAACAUUGAUAACAGCAGGAUGGCUGCAGAUGACUUCUGAGUGACGAAAUAAAUCAUCUGAGAAGUCCGUCAACUGGAGAUGUCAAUGUGGAGGUCAACAUUUGUCCUGACCCAGAUCUGAGGAAAAGCCUUGAGGGCAAACAAUGCCAGUAUGAAAAUACGAUGGAGUGCAACCACAAAGAGGCUGAGCAGUGGCAUGCGUGCAAGAUUGAGGAGGUGAAUCAGGAGAUCAUCACCAGCAGUCAGGAGACAGGUCAAACAACAACCAGAUCACUGAACUGAGAUGUUGACUGCAAGCCCUGGAGACCUGCAGGCCCAACUCAGCCUAGUCAUUGCUGAAGGACAUGGGACUAAGUAGACUGCCUGUCAUUUCAUCAUGCACGACCCUUCCUUUCCCCCCCGCUCACAAGCAAAUCAGUGAAAAAGUGACAGCAAAGUGUAAGGAAAAGGAAGGAGAAAUGCAGUGGACAUUUGCUUGGCUCUAUUAAUGCUAUCCAUCCACUGAGGCGCAUUUGAGUUGUUCAGAGGGGCCAUAUUCCUGUCUAUUAUGCUGCUUGCUUCUUAUCUUUUGUAAUGCUGUUUUUUCAACCACUGCUACCCAGUUGUGUGCUGUGGCUGGUAAUCUACCAAAUGAUUUAAAAUAAAACUCUGCUACUGCUGAUGCAUCCAGAA
Molecule: long non-coding RNA, 1022 nt
Organism: Alligator mississippiensis (American alligator)
Lineage: Eukaryota; Metazoa; Chordata; Crocodylia; Alligatoridae
Exons: 6
Source: RefSeq, a predicted model, not a curated record